RNAcentral lists this long non-coding RNA (1968 nucleotides) under Takifugu rubripes (torafugu). RNAcentral describes it as "lncRNA (ENSTRUG00000026798.1)". Lineage: Eukaryota; Metazoa; Chordata; Actinopteri; Tetraodontiformes; Tetraodontidae. The record is from RNAcentral.
AAGAGACAAUUUCUUUUAUUGAAACUUGCUCCGUUUCUAGAAAUUUAAAAGUUACAGUCACAGCUUUGAAAAUGGGAAUUUGAAACAGGGCAUGACAGGAAAGUGUCACUGAAUUAAACACAAUAAUCAAACCACAAUAAUCAAACAUAACAUCAUCCAAUUGAAAAUCAGUUCUAACUUCAGAUCCUUGUACUUUUUACAGAUGUUUCUGCUCUGGUGUUAUCUGUUAUCUUAUCUAUCUAUUAAAACCAGAGCCGAGCGGCAUUAAUCUCCAACAUCAAGUCAGAUUUUAUAACUAAUGUUAUCAUGUUGUUCUUGGAAAAAUGUCAGUUGAAUCAAUUAUCGCAUGAGAAGCAAACUACUGUGAAAGUGAAUACGAUUUUUUAUCUCAUGAUUAUUCAAUUAUAAGAUCAAAACAUUCAAUCAUUCAACAAUGAACAAAUGUUUUGCAGGAUGAUUGAAGCCAUGCGCAAAAGAUUUAUCGGAAUUGUCGGAAUUUCAGACUUUUCCCCUCAGUUUUAAUGGGAGGAAGCCAUUUACAACUGUGUGUAAACUGCAUGUAACCACACAUCCAUCCCUCCAUCUCCUCUUCCCUGUUGCCCCCCCCCCACUUCACCCUCGGUGAGGGGUUAAAACGGGCACACAAAUUGAGUUACUGCUCCAUAUCCAUAAAUUGUUCCGCCCUCCACCUUUCAGUGCAGGAGCCAGGAGCUGACAUCCUGAUCAUCCUUGUCUGAUUAGGACAAUCAAUGAGAGUGAGCGGGGGAGAGAUGAGGAGGAAGAGGAGGAGCUGAAGAAGUGGGGGAUGUGUCUGUGUCAGCUGGGGGGGGGGGACUCCUCCCAUAAUUAAGUUAGCGCUCUGCGUUGAAGGUCUGUGUUUACAGGGCAGCUGAGAGUUUCCUCCACUCCCUUUGGGCAGCUCUGAGGCAGCAGCAGCUUGUUCGCUCUUCUCUCUGGCCGUUCCUGCACCAUCCCAUCGCUGCGCGGCGACCGACACCCCCCCAGCGGGACUGACUGACGAGGAGCCGGGAGGGCCGGCAGCGGGAGCAGCACCUACCCUUGGCCACCACUCGGGCUGCCAUCAUGUGCGACUGUUUUCACCUGGCUUUCCCCAACUGGCACGCCGACUCUGCAGGGCCAGGAGGUGGCCGAAGGCUGAGAGGACCAGGGCCUGGUGGACGGGCCGAUCCGGUGAGUAAUUAACAUUUUUGCAGGUGACUUAUUAGACAUAUGAAACCUUCGUUGGGUGACUCUUAAUGAAGCUGUGUCAAAUGUAACGGCUAAAUGACCUCUUGGACAAACAGAUCUAUGACGAGCCAUCUCAGUUCACAGAAGGAGAGCGACCGCGCCCUCAAGGAUCGUCCCCCGUUGAGGAGUACCCUGAAAAAUAUGGCGACAGUGACCAAGAGGUAACAUACUGUUACGUUAAUAACUGUUUUCGCUUGCUUCUAUGACAGGGAUACACAGCUAAAAUAUAUAAAAUAUAACAAAAUAGCAAAUAACAUGAGACUUCUGGGUCCUUCGGGUUAACUGAAAAGAUAAAAGUCUGUAUAGGCUCUAAACUGACCAAGCUAGAAAAAUUGAAUGAAUUAAUUUAAAAAGAAAUCCACUAGGGUCACAAAUCUUACUCAUUUCAAAAUCAGUGGGACAAUCAUGUGGUGAACCUAUUGAACUGUGCCACAUUUGCAAUUUUGUAUGUUGUUUAAAUUACAACUAUUAUUGUUUUAAAUCAGUUAUUAUUGUUAUUAUUAUUUGCCUUUUUAAUUUUUAGUGUGAAACAGAAUAUGAUUCGUACCACAAGGGCGCGACUGGAAAAAAACCCAAAAAGUCUGGGCUGGGGUCCAUGUUUGAGAAACGUUCAACUCCAAAAAUGAGCAAACUUAAGGUGAGAUCUCAGCAAAUUCCCUCUGAUAUGAAUCUGGCAACAGCAGAAACUGCACGUGACAGAAACCUUAUUUAUUGCACUUA